Syngnathoides biaculeatus (alligator pipefish) is the source of this 572-nucleotide long non-coding RNA. RefSeq lists it as uncharacterized. NCBI's taxonomy places the organism in Eukaryota, Metazoa, Chordata, Actinopteri, Syngnathiformes, Syngnathidae. The transcript has 3 exons. The record is from RefSeq and is a predicted model, not a curated record.
GGCCCGGCAGUGUCCAGGAUGUUUCCACUGGGAAAGCUGCAAAAGAAUGGAAGGAGGGUCUCGGCUAACACUGUUUAGAUGAGGCCGGACGAUCAGCUUGUCUUCUAUUCAGAGUGAUGCACAGAACUUAUUGAUGCAGACUCUGAGUAGAGUGCUCCCGAGGAUCCACGAUGCAGGUGAGGCGACACUAAUCGGCGUACGGACACGGAGGACGAGGAGUUCAGAUCCCCACAGCUGCGCAGGUGGAUGCCCUCCGGGGCGCGGCCGCUGUGCCUGCGGUUGUGUCUGCUGUCGCUGUGGGAGUGAUGAGCAGGACUUGCUCGAGACUAGAACUCAUCGACACCAAGACAAGACAGAGACUUUUGGAAGUUGAGAUCCAGUCAAGACAAAGAUUAAGACAAGCCCAAACUGUGACAAGACCAAAGCCAUGAAAAUCAACCUUAAAAACCAUGAGAAGGUUGAAGAGUAUAAGAGCAUGCUCUCUUUAAUUUAACAUUUAUUUUAAAUAUAAAACACAGUCUGCAACUCAUUCAAAGUGCACCAGGAAAAUGUCAAAUUUUAACACUGAUUUU